This 253-nucleotide ribosomal RNA is filed under the name uncultured bacterium. Its description in RNAcentral is "partial 16S ribosomal RNA". It matches the Rfam family "Bacterial small subunit ribosomal RNA", at positions 524 to 776 of the family's 1533-position model. The record is from RNAcentral.
UACGUAGGGGGCAAGCGUUGUCCGGAUUUAUUGGGCGUAAAGAGCGUGUAGGCGGCUUUACAGGUCCGUUGUGAAAACUCGAGGCUCAACCUCGAGACGCCGGUGGAAACCGUAAGGCUAGAGUCCGGAAGAGGAGAGUGGAAUUCCUGGUGUAGCGGUGAAAUGCGCAGAUAUCAGGAAGAACACCCGUGGCGAAGGCGGCUCUCUGGGACGGUACUGACGCUGAGACGCGAAAGCUAGGGGAGCGAACGGG